This 3290-nucleotide unclassified non-coding RNA is filed under the name Hevea brasiliensis (rubber tree). The record is from RNAcentral. Lineage: Eukaryota; Viridiplantae; Streptophyta; Magnoliopsida; Malpighiales; Euphorbiaceae.
UCGCUCUCUAUGGAUAAGAUAAAGCGCUCACUCUCUGCUCUCCUCUGUAGCCUCUCACUUCUAAGCGGUAAUGGCAAGAGAUGCAAUGCAGGAGAAAUGGAGCCUCUACGAAGCCUACAACGAGCUCCACGGCUUGGCCCAGGAGCUAGAGACCCCAUUCGACGCGCCUGCGGUGCUAGUGGUGGGUCACCAGACAGACGGCAAGAGCGCUCUCGUGGAGGCCCUCAUGGGUUUCCAAUUCAACCACGUUGGAGGCGGUACGAAGACCCGUCGUCCGAUUACCCUCCACAUGAAGUAUGAUCCUCAAUGUGAGGUCCCUAUCUGCCAUCUUAUGUCUUAUGAUGAUCCCGCAUUUGUUCAAGAGAAAUCCCUUCAUGAAAUUCAGGCAUUCAUUGAAUCUGAAAAUAUGAGGCUGGAGCGAGAGUUGUGUCAAUUUUCAGCGAAGGAAAUAAUUAUUAGGGUGGAAUAUAAGUACUGCCCCAAUCUUACUAUUAUCGAUACUCCUGGGCUAGUUGCUCCUGCUCCAGGCAGAAAAAAUCAAGCAUUACAGAGCCAAGCUCGAGCUGUUGAGUCUCUUGUGCGAGCAAAAAUGCAGCAUAAAGAGUUCAUUAUAUUAUGUCUUGAAGAUUGUAGUGACUGGAGUAAUGCAACUACUCGAAGAGUAGUAAUGCAAAUUGAUCCUGAACUUUCAAGGACUGUUAUUGUCUCAACCAAACUUGACACUAAAAUACCCCAGUUUGCUCGCUCUUCAGAUGUUGAAGUUUUCCUUUCACCUCCUACACAUACACUGGAUGGCUUCAUACUGGGUGACUCUCCCUUUUUCACAUCCGUGCCUUCUGGAAGAGUUGGUUCUGGUCAUGAUUCGGUUUACAGAUCCAAUGAUGAGUUUAAACAGGCCAUAUCCUUAAGGGAGAUGGAAGAUGUUGCAGCUUUGGAGGAAAAGCUAGGGCGUCCAUUAUCAAAGAAAGAAAGAAGUAGAAUAGGUGUUAGCAAACUAAGGUCAUUCUUAGAGGAAUUGCUACUGAAGAGGUAUAUGGACAGUGUUCCUUUGAUUAUUCCGCUUCUUGAAAAGGAGUCCCGCAUUGCAGCAAGAAAGCUGAAUGAAAUCAUUAAAGAACUCAGUACUUUGGAUGAAGUCAAAUUGAAAGAGAAAGGAAGAGAAUUCCAUGACCUAUUCUUAACCAAGUUGUCAUUGCUGUUGAAAGGAACGGUUGUUGCUCCCCCAGAUAAAUUUGGUGAAACGCUACAAGAUGAGAGAACUAAUGGAGGGGCAUUUGUUGGUACUGAUGGUCUUCAGUUUCCACAAAAGCUAAUUCCUAAUGCAGGGAUGCGUCUUUAUGGGGGUGCACAGUAUCAUCGAGCCAUGGCUGAAUUUCGAUUUGUUGUGGGGGGAAUCAAAUGCCCUCAAAUUACUCGCGAAGAAAUUGUAAAUGCAUGUGGAGUUGAAGACAUCCAUGAUGGAACUAACUACUCUAGGUAUUCAUGAAUUUCUGACUGAACCAUUCAUGCAGUGCAAAAUAUUUCUAGUUUGUAAAACUCUUUUCCUUUCAACUUAUCUGAAUUCCAACUUUAUUUUUCCUACUCGCUUUUUAUUGGCUCACAGAACAGCAUGUGUAAUAGCUGUUGCAAAGGCUCGUGAUACAUUUGAACCUUUUCUUCAUCAGGUGACCGGUUAUAUUUAUUCCUAACAAAAUGGUUGAUCUGCAUUUUCACCCUCCCUCAUGCCCCCUGUCCUCACAUGCAUGUACACCCAACCCUAACAUCUCUUAAAACAUGAAGUAUAUAUCUUUUCUAAUCUGGUGAACCAAUAAUACAGCGGAUAGUAAUUCUAAUUAUACUCACAUAAUAGCAUUUACUCAUUUUACCGCUACAUCUUCUUUCCACAUGCAACACAAACUUCUCCUCUGUAUGAAUUCUGUCAAGGGUCACUGUCCAUGCAAAAUGUUAGAUCGUAAAGAAGCAACGAACCUGUUAAAAAAUCUCUGGUAUUGAAGUGUGUAUUAUUUUAAUGGAAGGUUAAAGUGUAAAUGAGUUUUAAAAGUUAAAAGCCAUAUAAUCCAAGUUGAUAGAAGCAAAAACCCCUGUAUAUAUGUUGUCUACAAAUCCAUGGGUGUUUAGUUGUUGUUGUUUACUUUUAUUUUUAUAAUUUUUGUUGAACAGAAUGGAAUUGGGUAUUAGGGAUUUAGGCUGGUUUGCAUUGGAAAUAUCCUAUUAAUAUUGGUUUUAUUCAACCUGUAUGACCAAUAUCUGAGCUUCUGUCAAAUGAAUUUGUGUUCCUAUGCUUUAGGCUUCCAAAUUUCAUUUGUCUUUGCCAUCUUUUGCAAAAUUUUGUUUGCCGCAGUUGAAUAUAGACUUCAAAAUGAAUUUCUUUUACUGGUGCAGUUGGGUAAUAGGCUCUUAUAUAUCUUGAAGAGAUUGCUUCCCAUCUCUGUCUAUCUGCUUCAGAAAGAUGGUGAGUAUCUUAGCGGUCAUGAUGUAUUCCUUAGGCGGGUUGCUUCUGCCUUCAAUAAUUUUGCAGAAUCUACAGAAAGAGCAUGCCAUGAAAAAUGUAUGGAGGAUUUAGUGAGCACCACACGCUACGUAACAUGGUCCCUCCACAAUAAGAAUCGGGCUGGGUUACGCCAAUUCUUGGAUUCCUUUGGUGGCACAGAGCAGUCUUCCACAGGAGCUAAUUCCGUAUCAGCUGGUAUGUCCCCAGAGUCAUCCAUGGGCUCAAUUGCCAAUGAGAAGCAUGAGAAUAAGUCAAGGGCAGAAGUUAAGCUCUGUCAUUUGGCCUCAGGAAUUGACUCAGGCUCUUCUGUUCAAGCAACAGAAACAAGGCUUGCUGAUCUUCUAGACAACACCCUUUGGAAUCGGAGGCUCGCUCCUUCAUCUGAAAGGAUUGUUUAUGCUCUGGUACAACAGAUAUUCCAUGGCAUAAGAGAGUAUUUCUUGGCCUCUGCUGAAUUGAAGUUCAACUGUUUUCUUUUGAUGCCGGUUAUAGACAAGUUGCCCGCACUUCUCCGGCAGGACCUAGAAUCUGCAUUUGAAGAUGAUUUGGAUAAUGUUUUUGACAUCACCAAUCUACGGCAUUCAUUGGACCAACAAAAGAGAGAAGUAGAAAUUGAGCUGAAAAGGAUUAAGAGGCUCAAAGACAAAUUUAGGUUGAUAUAUGAACAACUUAAUUUGCAUCAAGUCAAGGCUGUUCCUGCUACUGCCAAGGAAUGACUCCUGAGCAAGAAUGCUACUGGAGCAAGAUGUGUGAACUAAUGCAGUUACUUCAUUUGUUUCUCUCUCUCUCUCUCUCUUUC